GCCAACCAGCCUGCCUGCAGCCCAACCCGACACCGACAAGACACCAACGAGACGGCCAUACCGCGGACAAGACAACCGUACCGCGACGACAUCAUGUACAGUGUCACUUGUCCCCUGGCACUAUUUAUGAAGUGACCCAGGGGACAAGCAUGACAUGCACCAUGCCUUGUCCAUGCCACUACAUAGCUUAGGAAGUAAGCUAGCCCACACUAUAAAAGGGGCACACAUCCAUCCAUCCACUCACUCACGCCACAUUCAUUUGGCCACAAGGCCACUCACGGCCACAAGCCCUGGCCAUACUUGGCCACUAGAGCCGGCCAUACGCAUGCAUAUACAAGAUCAGAUGCCCCUGGCACUGAUCUCAGAUACAGCUCCAGGAGCACUUUGUACCAGAUAUAUCAUAUAUACUCAGACAUGCAGGAGUACGGGUAUUAUCUCUCCGGAGAGCCCCGAACCUGGGUAACUAGCGUGUGCUACUCCAUACCCGCUCCCAGUCCUAUCAGCAGCAGUCUUACCCUCACACUAAGCCCUUGUGGCAUCUGUCGACUCGGAAGCCCCCCGUGAGAAUACCACGACAGUUGGCGCCCACCGUGGGGCGGUACUAUGCUACCGCGCUGCUGCUGGUUUUGCAGUCCGGGCGGGACCCCUUUUUCUUCAUCGCCUCGGCCGCGGCGUCGCGCCGUCUCUUAGGUAGCGCUCCGGGGCUCGACAUCGAUCCGCCCCAGAGCGGCCGCGAGGGGUGGCAUGUCCUCACCGUCGGCCUCUUCAUCAUCACCAGCGCAACGCUGGCCGCCCGUCCGCGUGCGCGCCGCGCCGGGCCUUGCUUCGGUCGACCGCGUUCAUCCACGCACCGCUCGCGUAUGCUCCCCUCGCUGCUGCGCUUUGUUCCGGCCGAAAUGCAUGUUCGCUCCUCCAUAUUUCAUCUACGCAAGCUAGCUAGAUGCAAGUCAAAGAGUGGUCAUACACCAACUCUUCGUACACUAUCCAAAUACAAGUUGGAUAGUGCUUGUAUGAUGGUCAGACAAUAGCCGGACAUUGGUCAGAUACUAGCUGCUCAUUUGCCUCCUCCUGCGACACCGCUGCACCAUGCACCUCGCCCAGACCUGGCCAAACGGGCCGGCCCGGCACGGCACGGCACGGCCCGUGCUAAUCGUGCCUGGCCCGGCACGGCCCGCCAUGGCACGUUUAAUAGCCGGGCCGUGCCGUGCCGGCCCACGGGCGCUGCUCCUUGGCCCAGGCACGGCCUGAUUAGUAAACGGGCCGGCCCGAUGGCCCGUUUAGCACGCUGGGCUGCACAUUUUCAGCCUGCUGGGCUGGUAUUUAGGCCUAUUGGGCUGUAUUUUAGGUAUAUAUAUAUAUGUAAAAAUCUAAAAAAUAUAUAUAAAAAAUUAAACGGGCCGUGCCGUGCCGGCCCGCGUGCCCAGGCUCCAGGCCCAGGCACGGCCCAAGGCGUGUCGCGUGCCGGGCACGGCCCGUUUAGCCCGUGUCGUGCCUGGCCCAUGGCGGGCCGUGCCGGCGUGCUCGCGGGCCGGCCUGUUUAGCCCGGCCCGUUUGGCCAGCUAUAACCUCGCCUGCUCUCCACGAGCGUCCGAGGCUUCUCGCCCUGCCGUCCGCACAGCCGCAGCGUGACUCGCGCCAUCACCAAGCUCGCAGACGCCCUCUCCCUCACUCUGUUUCGCUUUUCUCUCGCGCGGCUGUACAAACGAAAUACAGAGAGUUUGCUUCCUCCGCUACUCGGCCAGGCACCCGUGGCCCGCUCGCUCCGACCGGCUCCGGGUCGCCGCCCGUGUGCUGCCUCCCAGCCGCCUCGCUGCCCUGCCUGCCGGUUGCGCGCCAUGGCCGGCUCCUCCUCGUCACCACCACGCCGGCUGGAAGACCCCGCGCGGCCGUGCGNNNNNNNNNNGGCUCGCCGCCUCCGCCCGGUUGCGCCUCGCGCGCCCGGCUCGGUGCGCUCGCGACCCGCCCCCAUCCGGCUCCUCCUCUGGCCGGCUUCGCCCGCCCGCCUACUGGCGCGUCAGCGCCCUCAUCACCUCCCGCGCCGACCCCCCGCGUCGCCGUGCCGCCUGCCUGCAUCCCGGACUCCUCCGUCCGCGUGCUGGCCUACAUCGCCCCGCACACCCGAACGCCGACUCCUGCGCCGCGCCGGCUCCACGCGUGCCCGCGUUGCCGGCCUGCCGCCUUCCACGGGCUCCUCCUCCACGGUGCCGUCCGUGCCGACUGCCCCGCCCAUGCGCGCCAGCCUCCACGACCAGCCUCCCGCGCGGCCCAGUCCGGCUCUGCCCGGCCGGCUUCACCCGAGUCACAGCUCCCGUACCGACUCCUCCGCACCGGCUCGUCCGGCUCCGUCCGGCUGCUCCGCCUCAACCGCCCGCAUGCCGGCUGGCCGAGGCCGGCUCCAGCUCCGCGCGCCUGCAUCCGGCCCCAGGGCCGGCCAUCCCGUGCUGGCCUCCACUCCCUCGCGCCGCCUCGUGCCGGCCUCCGCCCCGCCGACCUCCGGGUCGGUUCCGUCCAUGCCUCAGCACCUGCCCCGCCUCGCGGCCUCCUCCGCCUGCGCGCCCCGUGGUCGGCUGCGCCCCGCGUCGGCUCGCGCUUGCGUGGGCCGCUUCCCGCCUUGGCCGUGGGCGGUGGCCUUCGCUGGCCGGCUGCCCAGAGGGCAGAGAGGGGGGGGGCGGCUAGAGCCUAGAAGAGGCCGGCUGAUUAUCCCUUGUCGACUGGUAAAAGAGAGAAAAGUCAACAGCUGCUUCAUGCGGAGAUACAGAAAAAAUGUGUGUGUGCAUCCGGCUUCCCAGAGCCGGGUGAAGAAAAGGCCGGGUGCCCAUGGCCGACUGGCAGAGAAAAGUCACGCCGGGUGCCCAGCCGGCUUACUGAAAAAAAGGAGGAUCCGACUUUGCAGACUGCAGUCAAGCCGACUACUCCGGUCAACAGCCCACGUUGCCGCUGGGCUGACUGGUUCGUCUGCCCGCUUCACUGCCUGGCCGACCGAGGAGUCGAUCCAUCUGAGCACAGCCGACUGAUGAGGAAAAAAGAAGAAGACAAAGUAGUUGCCGGGAGAUCCGGCCCGACUGCUCAGCAUUCGGCCCGAAUCUCGGGGGCUACACCCAGCGGGUGCGCUGACGCGCCCCCGCGAAGAAGAAGACAAAGUAGUUGCCGAGAGAUCCGGCCCGACUGCUCCGCAGUCGGCCCGAAUCUCGGGGGCUACACCCAGCAGGUGCGCUGACGCGCCCCCGCGAAGAUUGCAGACAAGAGAAGAGUUUUGUCCGGCUCCGAGCAGCCGGCGGAAGAGAAGAAGAAGAAGAUAGGCGCUGCAAGAUGCAUCGCCGACUGGCCGGUCGAGCCUGACUGGCCAGGACCCCUUCGAGCACCCGGAGGCUCAACCUCUGUCUCAACUACACGAAAAUCAGUGUGAGCUCCUCACCCGCAUAUUUUUUGCACCACAAGAGCAUGGAUAACCCCGAGUGAUGCUCGGGGGCUAUCUUCACAUUUUAAUUACAGUUGCAUCACUGUUUGCCCCAGCGCCAGCCAGAGUUGGCCCGAGGGUUGGCCGCUUGGCCUGAGAUGUUUGUCCCCGCAGACGGCUUAGUAGCGUGCACGGUACCAAAGGCUCACUCUUAGUCACAAACCGCAUAGCGGCUGUCCGGCUAGCAAGAGUGAGCGCUGGAGGCCACCCACGCGAAAAACGUCCGGGAAGAAAAAUGGUUCGGGCGACCCGGCCGUUUUCCUUUACAAGUAUCUACUCGGUUGAAUCUGCUCCCAGACUCUGAGUACUGUACACUCCACUUCGCGGCCCACUCUCAGCCACAGAACGCAGAGCGGCUGUCCGUCGAGCGAGAGCACAAGCCAAAAAGCGGAGAGAACAUGAAAAAGAUUGAAGGGGGCUCGGACGAAACUGAGUCGACACCCUCCGCAUAAAACUUGCAAUGCUAAAAGCAAACAUUUGAUAUAUCUGCAUGGACUAACUUUGUCUUUUUUCUUGACAAUUUCCAUGAACACUCGCCAAAAAACCUCCGCCCAACUUUGCCAAGUUGCCCGGAGGCUUGGGGGCUACUGUCGGAGUAAUCGACCACGGGUACCCCGAGGACGGCAAGACGAUAUUUCAAGACAUCGGGGCUAGCAAAGCCCCUCAGUCCGACUGCCAGGCUGCUCCUGCCGGCUCCCCGUCCGACUGUUCUACCCGGCCGGCUGCCGACUAUGCCAACCAGCCUGCCUGCCGACUACGCCAACCAGCCUGCCUGCAGCCCAACCCGACACCGACAAGACACCGACGAGACGGCCAUACCGCGGACAAGACAACCGUACCGCGACGACAUCAUGUACAGUGUCACUUGUCCCCUGGCACUAUUUAUGAAGUGACCCAAGGGACAAGCAUGACAUGCACCAUGCCUUGUCCAUGCCACUACAUAGCUUAGGAAGUAAGCUAGCCCACACUAUAAAAGGGGCACACAUCCAUCCAUCCACUCACUCACGCCACAUUCAUUUGGCCACAAGGCCACUCACGGCCACAAGCCCUGGCCAUACUUGGCCACUAGAGCCAGCCAUACGCAUGCAUAUACGAGAUCAAAUGCCCCUGGCAUUGAUCUCAGAUACAGCUCCAGGAGCACUUUGUACCAGAUAUAUCAUAUAUACUCAGACAUGCAGGAGUACGGGUAUUAUCUCUCCGGAGAGCCCCGAACCUGGGUAAACUAGCGCGUGCUACUCGCAUACCCGCUCCCGGUCCUAUCAACAGCAGUCUUAC
RNAcentral lists this long non-coding RNA (4732 nucleotides) under Triticum aestivum (bread wheat). RNAcentral's name for it is "long non-coding RNA (TAES_LNC024164)". Lineage: Eukaryota; Viridiplantae; Streptophyta; Magnoliopsida; Poales; Poaceae. The record is from RNAcentral.